This is a non-coding RNA of Paramisgurnus dabryanus, 3902 nucleotides long. The record is from RefSeq and is a predicted model, not a curated record. NCBI's taxonomy places the organism in Eukaryota, Metazoa, Chordata, Actinopteri, Cypriniformes, Cobitidae.
GACACAGGAACCUCAGGAAACAAACUGGCAUACGCUUAAAGGCAAAGCAUCCAGUUAUCCAACUGUAGAAGACAGACACAAAUGGGAACAACCUAACAGAAACCCAAACACAGGAUUAGGAUCCCGAAACAGAGACAGUAAUCGAAACGGGCAGGCUGAACCUACGGCGAGAGCAGAGAGGAGAGGUUCAACAAUGGCGUGAGCAGAAACACUAGGACGGGCAGCGAGACAGUGACCUAACAACGAGCGUGUGACGGAAGACGAAACAGAAAGGUAUAAAUAGAUAAGGAGGAAACUGGACACGGCUGGAAACUAAUCAGAGAAACGAGAGGGAGGGGCAAGUGCACACGUGAAGAUCCUUCACCACAGAGAUCAUAUAUUUGGUUUCCAUAUCAACUGGAAAGGACCAGUCAAUGAAUAGCUUAAAAGACUUUUAGGUCACCCUCUAUUGCUGAAAACUUACAAAGGUCUGGACAUCAUUUGAAACUGAAGGUAUGAGCAGAACAGAAGGACAGAUAGAGGAGAGAGGAUACUGGGGGAGUAAAGCAGAGUUUCUUCUGGCUGUGGCAGGAAAUGUAGUUGGUCUUGGUAACGUCUGGAGGUUUCCAUACCUCUGCUACAAAUAUGGAGGAGGUGCGUUUCUGAUACCCUACCUUGUUUUUGUGAUUACCUGUGGGGUUCCUUUGUUCCUACUAGAGACGGCAAUGGGACAGUACACCAGGGAAGGUGCCAUUACAUGUUGGCAUCGCCUCUGUCCUCUGGCUGUAGGUAUUGGUUAUGCAGGUCAGCUGAUUCUGCUGUACAGCUGCAUCUGUUACAUCAUCAUUCUGGCCUGGGCACUUUUCUACCUUCUCUUCUCUUUCAGUUCUCAACUGCCAUGGGCCAGCUGUGACAACACCUGGAAUACAGAUGGCUGUGUAAAUCUUGGUGCAAAGAAUUUGACUCUCAACCACACAGCACAAAUGAAUUCCACGUCUGCAGCUACUGAAUUCUGGGAACGCAGAGUGCUGUAUCUCUCUGGUGGUAUUGAACAGAUGGGUAAAAUCAACUGGGAGAUUCUUUUGUGUCUCAUUGCAAUGUUGAUCAUAUGUUAUUUCUGCAUCUGGAAAGGAGUCAAAUCUACAGGCAAGGUGGUGUAUUUUACUGCCACAUUUCCUUAUGUGAUGUUACUUGUGUUGCUGAUUCGUGGGUUGACUCUUCCUGGAGCCCUACAGGGGAUUAAGUUUUACCUGUAUCCUGACCUGUCCCGUCUCUAUGACCCACAGGUUUGGAUGGAGGCUGGAGCUCAGAUCUUUUUCUCCUACAGUUUGUCUCUUGGUACUCUCACUGUCUUAGGCAGCUACAAUAAAUACAACAAUAACUGCUACAGGGACAGUUUUUGGCUUUGUCUACUGAACAGUCUCACCAGUUUUGUGGCUGGUUUUGCUGUGUUCUCAGUCCUGGGCUUCAUGGCCCAUCAGCAAAGCGUACCCAUUGAUAAGGUGGCAGAAUCAGGUCCAGGUCUAGCGUUUAUAGCUUACCCACAGGCAGUUGCUAUGAUGCCUCUUCCCCAGUUGUGGGCUGUAUGUUUCUUCAUCAUGAUUAUAUUACUUGGUCUAGAUACACAGUUUGUAGGAAUGGAGGUUGUCAUGACGUCAAUGAUGGACCUGUUCCCUAAGAUACUGCGCAAAACUGGAUACAGAGAAUUUUUUCUCCUCAUCUUCUGUCUCAUUUGCUUCUUGGGCCAACUCAUCAUGGUUACAGAGGGGGGGAUGUAUGUAUUCCAGUUGUUUGACUACUAUGCCUGCAAUGGAGCCGGUGUUCUUUUCCUGUCUGUAUUUAAGUCUGUGGUCAUGGGUUGGAUAUUCGGUGCUGAGAAAAUGUUUGAUAUCAUUGAAGACAUGACAAAGACACGACCCAACUACAUUUUCAUGCUGUGCUGGAAAUAUCUGACUCCUCUUGUGUCCUUGGUGUCUCUUGUCUGUUCUCUGGUGCAGUUCCAGCCUCUGACAUAUAACCGCUGGUACGUGUACCCGGACUGGACACAUGCACUUGGCUGGUUACUGGCCCUGUCCUCCAUUCUGCUAAUCCCUGUAUGGGCACUGGGUCAACUGUUUGCUGGAAAAGGAAGCCUGAAACAGCGUUGGCAUUAUCUGUGUAGUCCUGACAAGAACCUCCCACUCACCUGUAAGCAACAAGCUGAAAUGCAGAAAAUGAUGUGCACUGCAGAUCCUGAAGAUUUAUUCAGGAAUAACACAGAAGAACAUGUCAAUACACUUUGAAAUAAAAAUACAUUUUCCAACUUUUUCCAGUGGAGUUGAAUUUUGCAUCUGCCCUCAUUCUUCAGUAUAAACAGCAAACUUCCCCUGAUUAAAAAAAACAAUUGAAGGAUCAUUCUACAAAACAAAUUUUUGGUAUGGUAGAUGUCUUAAAAUGUACUACUUUUUCUAACAUUUAAAUUUAAAACCACAUUAUUAGAUUUCCCUUUGACUUUAUAAAUACACAUUAAUGACAGCUUGAUGUUUUUCUUCAUGUGCAUUUAUCUUAUAUGUAUGCAUGUAGAUAGAUUCUGAUGUAUUACGUUAAAAUAAUGUAAGUGUCAUAUUUACAAACAAAAAUGUAAGUAUGUAAAAAUUAUCCAUAAAUAUACAUAGUAGAAAAAUAAAACAGAAAUAGUGGUCCUGUAAAUGUCCACAAGUAAAUUGCAGUGGGCCUACAGUAUUUGGCAACAAUAUUAAAAACCUAUUUAUGCCCCAGCUGCAACACAGGGCUGGGACAACAUCCUUGUUUUUUAAUGUCAAUUAAAACCAUUGUGGAUCACAAGGUUCCAGCCUAUAAAUGACAAAAAAGACACUUGAAUAAGCAUUUUAGGAUUGUGUCUUUCAGAAAAAAAAUAACAAUCCCAAAAGGUUGAUUUACUCCAAACAAGUAUUUGACUGUAAUGCCAUAAGUCUUGUGUACCAUCUUAAGGGUUUUCUUGUAAAUAUAAAGGACACACUUUUAAAUAGUAUGUAAAGUGCAUUUAUAAUUAUCGCCUCAUAUAUUGUACAGUAUAAAGUGUCUGUUUACCUCAGGUGUCAUAACUUCCUUGAUUUGUGUCACAGCCACACAGCUGAAUGGCGUUUCGUCCGUGACCAUUUCUAGGCUAAUACCAGCACAGUCUACAUGUAGCCAAUUUUGGCAUUGAUCACACUGAAACCAGUUGAGUGUUUGGAUAUGUGGAUGCAUUUUUCUAAGGACAAAAAUUGAUUAAACAAACUAAGUGUAACAGAAUUGCACAACAUCUAAAAAAUGAAUAGUUUAUACUUACUUGGAAAGAAAUGUUUGACAAAGGCACACUCUAGCUUCCUGAGCCAUACAGUUGUUCUGUGCCACACUCUUUGUUGCUUCAACGGCCUUGGACGGAGUGUUCUUACAAUUAUUUCAUACAUCCUUUAAUCUGUGCAUCACGUUGUGUUACUUUGUGCAUCAAACACACUUUAAAAGAACUUGUGUCCCCAUUUACUAGAUUGUAUAUUUUUACCAUGCAUGAGGCAUGAUAAAGCCGAAGAUGUCUCAGUUGUUCAGGGUGCAGUAUUUCAUGAUUCAUUUGAAUAUUUUUGGUUUCCAUCUUCACUACCUAUUUAAAUAAGAAUUUAAGAAAAUGAUUUAUUUAUAAAACAUUUUACAAAAUAUGACUAAAUAUAUGCAACAAGGAAGAUACAACACUGCUUACUCACUGUGUGAACAAAAACACCACAAUGGCUUCCAUAAUCUCUAUGCCAUUGCUGUGGAUAGGAUGUAGACCAGCCAUUCAAGAAGCCAAGCUUUCUAAAUGCAUUUCUGAAAACACAAACAUACAAUUAAAAUAUAAUUAUUUAUUAAACAAUUUAUUGACUGUAAUUUAUACAUUAAUGAGCAAUACUGAGAAAUGCAUAUGACAU